GAGAGAGCGUCUGUGAACUCAACUGACAACAACUCAGCUUCAUGUGUUCUCUGAGGCCGAUGGUGAUUCCACUUCAUACUCUCUUCAUGAGGUGUCCCAGACCCACCCCAAAAGCCCUGAGCCUUGCAGUGGCCUCUUUGGCCUCAGCAAGUUUACAGCAUGACCUGGGACCACAGUCCGGCAGGAGAGAAUAGGUGGAGAGAAGACGCACUUUUCGGAUGGGACAUUUGCUUAUGCUUCUCAGUGGACAAGCGCUCAGAAUUCUAGCAUGUGACUGGAUGAGGUGGUCUCCAGAUGUCUGCGACAUUUAUAUGAAGGACUGAAAUGAAAUAAUUGGAGCUAGUAUUUUUGUUGCAUGCACUAUUAGAGGCUCUGUCAUAGAGUGCUUUCAGCACAUUAUUUCAUUCAAUCUUCACAGCCUUCUUCAGAGAAGAUACUGUCACCAUUUCACAUGCAUGUAAGUAGAAGAGCCAAAAUUUGAAUGCAGAUCUGGCUUGCUUCAAAUUGCUUUUUCCAUUAACAUCCAUGUUUAUCAAAGUAUAGAGCACUUGUCAAGCACAGCAUUAAAGUCCCCUUUCACUACUAAUUAGAUGAAUUAGGUAAAUUAAGCUGUUUGGACUUCAGAUUUCUUAUUUGUAA
Long non-coding RNA from Rhinolophus ferrumequinum (greater horseshoe bat), 639 nucleotides. RefSeq lists it as uncharacterized. The transcript has 3 exons. Lineage: Eukaryota; Metazoa; Chordata; Mammalia; Chiroptera; Rhinolophidae. The record is from RefSeq and is a predicted model, not a curated record.